Molecule: ribosomal RNA, 236 nt
Filed under: Pseudomonas sp. GEM02B31b
Lineage: Bacteria; Pseudomonadati; Pseudomonadota; Gammaproteobacteria; Pseudomonadales; Pseudomonadaceae
Description: partial 16S ribosomal RNA
Rfam family: Bacterial small subunit ribosomal RNA
Source: RNAcentral
UAAUCCCGAAAAACAGAUCGGAGUCCGGAUCGCAGAAACAACUCGACUGCGUGAAGUCGGAAUCGCUAGUAAUCGCGAAUCAGAAUGUCGCGGUGAAUACGUUCCCGGGCCUUGUACACACCGCCCGUCACACCAUGGGAGUGGGUUGCACCAGAAGUAGCUAGUCUAACCUUCGGGAGGACGGUUACCACGGUGUGAUUCAUGACUGGGUGAAGUCGUACAAGUGGCUAGUCAAG